UUACACCUCAUCAAUCAGAAGGAAUCCCUUCUGGUCGAUGAGGUUGUUACACCUCAUCGACCAGGAGGGAUUCCUUCUGAUUGAUGAGUUGUAACAACCUCAUCGACUGGAAGGGAAUCCUUCUAGUUGAUGAGGUGUAA
Molecule: microRNA precursor, 140 nt
Filed under: Puccinia graminis f. sp. tritici CRL 75-36-700-3
Lineage: Eukaryota; Fungi; Basidiomycota; Pucciniomycetes; Pucciniales; Pucciniaceae
Description: microRNA MIR807
Source: RNAcentral